This 211-nucleotide long non-coding RNA is filed under the name Setaria viridis. Its description in RNAcentral is "long non-coding RNA (SVIR_LNC002221)". The record is from RNAcentral. Lineage: Eukaryota; Viridiplantae; Streptophyta; Magnoliopsida; Poales; Poaceae.
UUUUGAAAGGAAUGAAAGAUGGGGUUUUUGUAGGGUGUACUGUUAGGUUUUAUCAUUAAUCAAGUUAUUGUGCACUAUUUGUUAUGGCCAAGAUUCUUAAGCCCCAUUAAAUUAUUAUAAUGAAUAAAGAAUGUUUUUAAUUAUGAUUUUUCACAAUUUUACAACAAGAUUCAAUAUACACGAGUGCUCAUGAAACUUAUCCUUAGCCGCG